Cornus florida is the source of this 852-nucleotide long non-coding RNA. RefSeq lists it as uncharacterized. The transcript has 2 exons. Lineage: Eukaryota; Viridiplantae; Streptophyta; Magnoliopsida; Cornales; Cornaceae. The record is from RefSeq and is a predicted model, not a curated record.
AUACAAGAGAGUAGGUAUGCGGAAGUGAAAAAAAUAAAGAAAAGAUGGAAAUGUGAUGUAUUUUUGUGAGGCCCAUUAGAGGAGAAAUAGUUGAUUUGGUUUUUGUUACCUUGGUAUGUAUAAGAUAUAUAUAUAUAUGUAUGUUGUCUGCUAAAAGAGAUGCACCAGCCGUGGGAAAAGAAGAAAAUAGGUGGAUGAUGAAAAUGAAAAAUAAAGAAAUAAUGGUGAUAAAGUGAUGGGACCACUAGGAAUUGUUUGGCCAAGAAAUUCCUUGGUGUUUGGCUAUGUAACGUGGCUUUGUGUAGGUGUCAAAAUUCUUUAGGCUUGGUUCAUGCACAUGGCUAAUAUAAUUUAUUUCUAAGGUGUAUCAUCAGAUGGAAGAGGAUAAGGGGCAGCGAAAUGGGAAAGCAAAAAGGAAAUGAUUAUUGUGUGGGCUCCACUUGAAGACAAAGUGAUUAGAUAAUUAUAUAUGGGCUGAUAUUUGUUGAGUGUCGGCACACUUGUCUAUAUAUUGAAUGUUUGGUGCACCUAGUAUGUAUUAGAGAUACAAAGAAUUGAGUAGAGAUGGAGAGAAAAAUUAGAGAAAUGCACAGACAGAGAGAUGGCCGAGAUUUUUGGUGCUCAGAUGAUCCAUGAUAAUUCUUUUGCAGUGUACCAAGGAUGCUUGAGGAUUUUUAGCUGCGGGUUUAGGUAGAAGAAUUGGUGUUGAGGAAUUAGAUUAUUUUAUUUGGAGAUUUUUAUGUAUUUAUUUGAGGAAAUUAAUUUAGUAUUAAUUUAUUUAUUUUGAGAGAUGUUGUAUUCAUUUUUGAGGAAUUGAUUCUGUAUCAAUAAAGGGUAUUUUAUUUCUUUUGA